AACGCUGGCGGCGUGCCUAAUACAUGCAAGUCGAGCGAACAGACGAGGAGCUUGCUCCUCUGACGUUAGCGGCGGACGGGUGAGUAACACGUGGAUAACCUACCUAUAAGACUGGGAUAACUUCGGGAAACCGGAGCUAAUACCGGAUAACAUGUUGAACCGCAUGGUUCAACAGUGAAAGACGGUCUUGCUGUCACUUAUAGAUGGAUCCGCGCCGCAUUAGCUAGUUGGUAAGGUAACGGCUUACCAAGGCAACGAUGCGUAGCCGACCUGAGAGGGUGAUCGGCCACACUGGAACUGAGACACGGUCCAGACUCCUACGGGAGGCAGCAGUAGGGAAUCUUCCGCAAUGGGCGAAAGCCUGACGGAGCAACGCCGCGUGAGUGAAGAAGGUCUUCGGAUCGUAAAACUCUGUUAUUAGGGAAGAACAAAUGUGUAAGUAACUAUGCACGUCUUGACGGUACCUAAUCAGAAAGCCACGGCUAACUACGUG
RNAcentral lists this ribosomal RNA (493 nucleotides) under uncultured bacterium. Its description in RNAcentral is "partial 16S ribosomal RNA". It matches the Rfam family "Bacterial small subunit ribosomal RNA", at positions 32 to 507 of the family's 1533-position model. The record is from RNAcentral.